This 560-nucleotide ribosomal RNA is filed under the name Pristimantis rhabdolaemus (Apurimac robber frog). Its description in RNAcentral is "partial 16S ribosomal RNA". It matches the Rfam family "Bacterial large subunit ribosomal RNA", at positions 1831 to 2597 of the family's 2925-position model. Lineage: Eukaryota; Metazoa; Chordata; Amphibia; Anura; Strabomantidae. The record is from RNAcentral.
CGCCUCUUGAAUUCAUUAGAGGUCCAGCCUGCCCAGUGACUCUUGUUUAACGGCCGCGGUAUCCUAACCGUGCGAAGGUAGCGUAAUCACUUGUCUUCUAAAUAAAGACUAGUAUGAAAGGCAUCACGAGGGUUUAACUGUCUCCUCUAUCUAAUCAGUGAACCUAAUCUCCCCGUGAAAAAGCGGGAAUUUUAAUAUAAGACGAGAAGACCCUGUGGAGCUUAAAACAUUUUUACACGUGCCCCAAUACCAAGUACCCAGGUACCAUAUCCUAUCGACACGAUGAUUUUAUGUUUUUGGUUGGGGUGACCGCGGAGAAUAUCACAUCCUCCGUAGUGAAAGGAACCACUCCUUAACAACAAGCCACAACUUUAUGUAUUAAUAUAUUAACACCAUUGACCCAAUAAAUUGAUUAAUGAACCAAGUUACCCCAGGGAUAACAGCGCAAUCCACUUCCAGAGCCCCUAUCGACAAGUGGGCUUACGACCUCGAUGUUGGAUCGGGAUAUCCUAGUGGUGUAGCCGCUACUAAAGGUUCGUUUGUUCAACGAUUAAAAUCCC